Felis catus (domestic cat) is the source of this 86-nucleotide microRNA precursor. It matches the Rfam family "mir-877 microRNA precursor family". The record is from Rfam. NCBI's taxonomy places the organism in Eukaryota, Metazoa, Chordata, Mammalia, Carnivora, Felidae.
GUAGAGGAGAUGGCGCAGGGGACAUGGGCUAAGAGUUGGGGGUUCCUGGAACCUUUGGACAUGUGUCCUCUUCUCCCUCCUCCAGG